Long non-coding RNA from Clupea harengus (Atlantic herring), 2815 nucleotides. The record is from Ensembl. Lineage: Eukaryota; Metazoa; Chordata; Actinopteri; Clupeiformes; Clupeidae.
GGGGGCGGACUCACAGUGCCGGCCCUUCCAGAAACAGGUUGCUGUCAGACAGCAGUGCGAGUCAGCGCACACAGAGACACAGUAUGCACUAGAGACUCCAGGAGUGCUGCUGCUCACCACGGACAUGGACCUACUCAAGGGCUUGGGAGUUCUGCUGGUACUGCUCCUCGGCUCAGCCCACUGCUGGGACGACCUAGAGCCGGUUCUUAAGGCUGUGGGGGACUCCAUGGAGAUGGGUUUCUGCUUCGGAGUGGACUACAUUGUGGGCUACAAGCUGACGGGUGAGGAGCGGGAACUGAUGGGGAAUUCCUCCAGUGAAUCGCCCAAGGGAUUUGACGGGCGUGUGAAAGUUACGUAUCACAUUGCAUCCCUCCUGGGUUUGGAGAUUAGCAACCUGACAUCUGCUGACACCGGGGUCUACUUGAGGGAGUGUUGGCAGGACCAUGAGCUGAUAAACCAGCAGAAGCACUACCUGUAUGUUUGUGGGGAAAAGGCUGCCUCUCAAGAUAUCGUUGUGUCCCCAGAAGGAGGGGCAGAUUUUACUUGCAACACUCCCAGCACCGGACUGCCAGAGUCCAGUAUAAGGUGGUACCGUGAAGUUUACCCCAAAUACAAGACAACUCUGUUCCUGGACACACAGCUGUCACAGACACCUAUCCAGCCUGAGCUGCAAGGCGAGAUUCAGGUGAGAGGCGGGGGAGUCGGCCUCCACAUCCCCACCUCCGUCAUGAAGAAGAGCCGCAACUUCCACUGCCUGGUGCUGCGAGAGGGGCAGUGCCUGGCCUACCAGGAUAUAGAGUUCCCUGAGAGCGAGGAGCCAGACGUGAAGACCAUCUUCCGCUCGGCAGGAGAUAGAGUGCUGUUACCCUGCCCCAUGAAGCACCCCGACCAGAAGACAAGAUUCUGGGAGACGCCGUUGGGUCAGGUGGAGUCCAACACCACCACAGAGGACCAUCACCUGAGUGUACUGAAAGGUAAGGUGUCAGGAGAAUACUCCCUGCUCAUACCACAUCUCAGUGAGGACCACGCAGGGGAUUAUAAAUGCUUUGCUCCACUGCUGGUGGCAGAUUACGCUGUGACUGUUUGCCCAAAGCAUGAUUCAACGGAACUGAAGUUUUCUGAUGGAGAUGAAGUGGAUCUGAAAUGUCUGCCGGAGGAUGGGGCAUUUCAGCAUCCAGUGGUAUCGACAGCAUGGGCCUGACGAGGAUACCUUGCUAGUAGACUCAGGCGAUCCAUCAAUACCUUUCCCUGAAGACCUGCGGGGCAGGGCCACAUUUUCGGAGGAAACCUUCACACUCACAAUUUCCCGUCUCACCCCAGAGGACAACCGGACGUACUGGUGUGUGGUUCUGGAGGAAAUAACGUUUCUGGAAGAAUACAACCCUGCUAUCGAUGACGAGGAAGACAGUGAGGGUGAAGGUGACACUGACAGCAAAGCUGUUGGUGAAAAUGAGGACUAUAACGCGUGGGAGGACGAAGACAAAUGCCUCUCAAGGCAAGUGUCUCAUCUGAUAUACAAGGCCCCAAAAGAUCCCAGGUCAGGCCCUAAGUCUACGUCUAAGUCUGAGUCUGACCCUGAGCCUGAGUCCACGACCAACCCGGCUGUGUUUGGCAUAGUGGGCGGAGUCAUUGGCUUGGUCAUUUUGGGGGCUGUCAUAGCAACAGUGUUUAAAAUCCGAGCAAAGAAGAGACAUGACCAGGCUAGGAAAGAUCCUGUACAAUACAUAGGAUCAGAGGGUGAAGUGGCUGGGCUUGCACCACAGAACAACAGACCUUGACUGUGAAGGGGCGGGCAGCUGUCUGAGAAAAGAAGACAUAGACAGCUCUCCAUCUGAUGGGGUGGGGAGACCAGGCUGUGCCAGAUGGUCGCUAGUUCCUGCUGCAGCAUUAGCAUGUCAAGCACAGCACCCUGAACGUUCCACUGCUCUAUGAGCCUCCAGGCCAGACCAUGCAUGAGACUGCCCAUCGGUGGCAUGGUGGGACUGACUUAAUUAGUAACACAUUUCGCUGUUCAACUUCACUAGUUGCUUGAGCUUAUUUCGAAAAUGUCUUUCACAUGUCAAACCGCUAUUGUAUACUCUUUACAUUAUAAGGACAAGCACUUGCAUGAGCACAGGAAGUCCCAAAAGGAACAAAUGUUUAUUGGUGUGGUAAUGGUGUGGUAGAAAUGGUGGUUUAUGUGUGUUUGGUAGAAGUCCUCACGCUCUGAUCCCAUCCCAUCUGGAGCCGAGGUUUCUGUUUGGGCUUGAGAAAUCAUUUGCUCUGCCAGCAGGAUUUUGAAACCCAGGAAAUGAAGUGUGUGUUUCAGAAAGUCUUCCCAGGAGCUGGACGUGUUUCUGGUGCUGAAUGAAUUGGUGAUGAUGAGAUCAAACAAGGUUCACAGUUGUGCACACUGCCCACUUCCCUGUUUUGUUUCCAAUCCUGCUGAAGCUUAGCGUCCUGUCUGCUCCCCGUGUUUGUCCGUGUUUGUCCUGCACUCUCAGCAGCUGUUCUGAAUGCUUGGACAUUUAUCCUAUCGUUUUGGGGCAAUCUCAUGCAUGUGUUCUAGCCCCACAGGCUGUGGUAGCCGUAAGCGAUAGUACAUCCGGAAGCCAUUAGGCCUUUUGCCAUAAUGUAAUUCUUUCUCAGCAUUUCAAUUGUAGCUAGACUCCAAUGCAUCCAGCAGUUGCAUAGAUGUAAAACACUUGUCAAUGAACAGAUGGGUGUUCCUGGAAAUAAUCUCAGCCACCAAUGGAUCUUGCUUUUUUAACUCUCAUUAUAGAUGUAAUUUCCUGCGUAAACAUUAAAAUCCCAAACCAUUUGGAUUAGCAAGGAC